GGGCCGCUGGCGCAAUGGCAGCGCAUCGGACUUUUAAUCCGCGGGUUCUGGGUUCGAGUCCCAGGCGGCCCAC
This 73-nucleotide transfer RNA is filed under the name uncultured Acidimicrobiales bacterium. RNAcentral's name for it is "tRNA-Lys". It matches the Rfam family "tRNA". From Rfam's summary of the family: Transfer RNA (tRNA) molecules are approximately 80 nucleotides in length. Their secondary structure includes four short double-helical elements and three loops (D, anti-codon, and T loops). Further hydrogen bonds mediate the characteristic L-shaped molecular structure. tRNAs have two regions of fundamental functional importance: the anti-codon, which is responsible for specific mRNA codon recognition, and the 3' end, to which the tRNAs corresponding amino acid is attached (by aminoacyl-tRNA synthetases). tRNAs cope with the degeneracy of the genetic code in two manners: having more than one tRNA (with a specific anti-codon) for a particular amino acid; and 'wobble' base-pairing, i.e. permitting non-standard base-pairing at the 3rd anti-codon position. The record is from RNAcentral. Lineage: Bacteria; Bacillati; Actinomycetota; Acidimicrobiia; Acidimicrobiales. RNAcentral also lists the same sequence under 1 other name.